Molecule: ribosomal RNA, 253 nt
Filed under: uncultured bacterium
Lineage: Bacteria
Description: partial 16S ribosomal RNA
Rfam family: Bacterial small subunit ribosomal RNA
Source: RNAcentral
UACGAAGGGGGCUAGCGUUGUUCGGAAUUACUGGGCGUAAAGGGCGCGUAGGCGGCGUGUCAAGUCAGGCGUGAAAGCCCCGGGCUCAACCUGGGAACCGCGCUUGAGACUGGCAUGCUCGAGUUCGGGAGAGGAUGGUGGAAUUCCCAGUGUAGAGGUGAAAUGCGUAGAGAUCGGCAGGAAGACCAAGGGGGAAGCCAGGCACCUGGGCCCGUACUGACACUCAUGGACGACCGCGUGGGGAGCGAACCGG